RNAcentral lists this long non-coding RNA (339 nucleotides) under Zea mays. RNAcentral's name for it is "drought responsive lncRNA". The record is from RNAcentral. Lineage: Eukaryota; Viridiplantae; Streptophyta; Magnoliopsida; Poales; Poaceae.
UGAUGAUGAGGGUGUAGUAGAGACAUAGUAUUGAUACAUCUUUUUCAUGAGAACAACGUAACAUCAGUCACUAGUAGAAAUGUUAGUAUUCCUAAAUCUCAUAGCUCCAACUCCAGCUCGCAAUCCAUGGCGUAGACUAACGCAAGAGAGCUAGCAACACUCCUAGCAAUCAAGAAAGGCUGGGGCAGCCCAUCUGCGCUCAGCUCAUGGAGCUCCCAGAAGGCCAGAACGCUUCCUACUGGCUACUGCAGCUAGACAGGGGUCAGGUGCGUGAACAACAUCAGUCUAUAGCUGCUCGGUUCCCCACAGCGCUCACCGGCCAGGCCAGUUCCGCACAGC